This 401-nucleotide long non-coding RNA is filed under the name Sorghum bicolor (sorghum). RNAcentral's name for it is "long non-coding RNA (SBIC_LNC005359)". Lineage: Eukaryota; Viridiplantae; Streptophyta; Magnoliopsida; Poales; Poaceae. The record is from RNAcentral.
ACUCGAAGUUGAAGGGGAAGAGUAUUUUUUGUUUUUCUUUUUGGUUCACAAAGAACCUCAUAAGAUUGGUGCAGACUUCUGUCUCAUGAGCUGCUGUCCACACUGCCUGCGGAGCUUUGAAAACAAUAUAAGGGUCAACGAACCCAAUACUAUUGUCAUUUCUGAUUCUGAGCUCUCUCAUUUGGUGCCUGCAUAUAUACAUACAAAUCCAAAGUGUGUAAGGAUUAUAUAAAUGUAAUUAAAGAAGUUAGAAGUAUAAUAAAAAGAAAAAUAUACUUACAGACAAAAGCAGCUGACAAGAGAUUUGUCGAGAGCGUCGAGGUGACAUAAUUGGUGCAAUUCUUCGAACUGCACGUAUAUGAGGUCAUCUCCAUGGAAGUAGUGAUGUUGUCUAAUACGAA